UACGGAGGGUGCGAGCGUUGUCCGGAAUCAUUGGGCGUAAAGGGCGCGUAGGUGGCACGAUCAGCGUGCGGUGAAAGCUCGGGGCUCAACCCCGAGUCGGCCGUGCGAACUGAGUCGCUUGAGCACUGUAGAGGCAGGCGGAAUUCCGGGUGUGAGCGGUGGAAUGCGUAGAGAUCCGGAAGAACACCGGUGGCGAAGGCGGCGACCUGGAAGGUAACUGACACUGAGCAGCGAAAGCGUGGGGAGCAAACAGG
This 254-nucleotide ribosomal RNA is filed under the name uncultured bacterium. RNAcentral describes it as "partial 16S ribosomal RNA". It matches the Rfam family "Bacterial small subunit ribosomal RNA", at positions 524 to 776 of the family's 1533-position model. The record is from RNAcentral.